This is a long non-coding RNA of Peromyscus leucopus (white-footed mouse), 740 nucleotides long. RefSeq lists it as uncharacterized. NCBI's taxonomy places the organism in Eukaryota, Metazoa, Chordata, Mammalia, Rodentia, Cricetidae. The transcript is spliced from 3 exons. The record is from RefSeq and is a predicted model, not a curated record.
CCUAAUCAGACUCCUGAUCUAGAGAGGAAGUUCAGGCAGCCCUGCUGCAGACAGCCUGGCUGGGUCCAGUGCCCUGUACUGGAGAGAAAAACCCUUCACUGUCUGGAUGUGGAGGGGAGGUGGGAUUCCACUCUGUCCUCCAGGCCUCUCCUUCCUCCCCAGAACAAAAGGCCAUCUGGUGAAAUCUUGCACACAUGUACUUGUCCACAUGUACACACAAGUACAAACACACACACCUUCACUCCAGCUGCAGCAGAGGGCUGGAGGGAGGAACGGCCCAAAAGGCAGUAAAGUCAUUGAGUUCCUGAGCCUAGAUCUUAGCCAAGCCUGCCUCAUCAUGUCAUGGCUCAUGCUGGGUUAGAGAAUACUCCCAACGGCCCUUUGGUCAGGGCCUUGCUGUGCUAUCUGGGACAAGCAGUUGGGCCUCAUCUGUGGACAAGAGUUCCCACCAAUCUGAUGAGGUUGAUGUAUUAGUUACUUUGCUCGUGGCUGUGACAAAAUGAAUACCUCGCAGAAGCAAGCCUCAGGACUCUAACCCACGGAAUAAGGAGACAAACAUCUAGGCAGAGUCCUCUCGGCUGGAGGCACACCCAUGGACCCACUCAGAGGAAUGGCGUGAGUGUGGUUGGCAACAAUAGGAUCAUGACUCCACACAGACAAGAAAGGGAAGGGAGUGAGAGUGGAUUGUGGCUCCUGGUGAGUGUGGUGUCGAAAAUGCCCUGCCUCUGGCUCAGACUAAA